Molecule: transfer RNA, 70 nt
Filed under: Dipodomys ordii (Ord's kangaroo rat)
Lineage: Eukaryota; Metazoa; Chordata; Mammalia; Rodentia; Heteromyidae
Rfam family: tRNA
About the family: Transfer RNA (tRNA) molecules are approximately 80 nucleotides in length. Their secondary structure includes four short double-helical elements and three loops (D, anti-codon, and T loops). Further hydrogen bonds mediate the characteristic L-shaped molecular structure. tRNAs have two regions of fundamental functional importance: the anti-codon, which is responsible for specific mRNA codon recognition, and the 3' end, to which the tRNAs corresponding amino acid is attached (by aminoacyl-tRNA synthetases). tRNAs cope with the degeneracy of the genetic code in two manners: having more than one tRNA (with a specific anti-codon) for a particular amino acid; and 'wobble' base-pairing, i.e. permitting non-standard base-pairing at the 3rd anti-codon position.
Source: Rfam by way of RNAcentral
GGGAAUGUGGCUUAGUGGUAGAGUACUUGCCUAGCAUGCAUGAAGCCCUGAGUUCAAUUCCUCAGUACCA